RNAcentral lists this ribosomal RNA (250 nucleotides) under uncultured bacterium. RNAcentral describes it as "partial 16S ribosomal RNA". It matches the Rfam family "Bacterial small subunit ribosomal RNA", at positions 524 to 773 of the family's 1533-position model. The record is from RNAcentral.
GACGAGGGGUCCUAGCGUUGUUCGGAAUCAUUGGGCGUAAAGCGUAUGUAGGUGGCUAUGUAAGUCAGGUGUGAAAGCCCCGGGCUCAACCCGGGAAGUGCAUCUGAUACUGCGUAGCUUGAGUACCGAAGAGGGUAGUGGAAUUCCAGGUGUAGUGGUGAAAUACGUAGAUAUCUGGAGGAACACCGGUGGCGAAGGCGGCUACCUGGUCGAGUACUGACACUGAGAUACGAAAGCGUGGGGAUCAAAC